This 428-nucleotide ribosomal RNA is filed under the name uncultured organism. RNAcentral describes it as "bacterial SSU rRNA". It matches the Rfam family "Bacterial small subunit ribosomal RNA", at positions 355 to 775 of the family's 1533-position model. The record is from RNAcentral.
UGGGGAAUAUUGGACAAUGGGGGCAACCCUGAUCCAGCCAUGCCGCGUGUGUGAAGAAGGCCUUCGGGUUGUAAAGCACUUUCAGUGGUGAGGAAGGCUUGCAAAUUAACACUUUGCAAGAUUGACGUUAGCCACAGAAGAAGCACCGGCUAACUCCGUGCCAGCAGCCGCGGUAAUACGGAGGGUGCGAGCGUUAAUCGGAAUUACUGGGCGUAAAGCGCACGUAGGCGGUUUGUUAAGCAAGAUGUGAAAGCCCCGGGCUCAACCUGGGAAUAGCAUUUUGAACUGGCAAGCUAGAGUUUUGAAGAGGGUGGUAGAAUUUCCUGUGUAGCGGUGAAAUGCGUAGAUAUAGGAAGGAAUACCAGUGGCGAAGGCGGCCACCUGGUCAAAAACUGACGCUGAGGAGCGAAAGCGUGGGGAGCAAACAG